CUCUCUGGAGAAGCUCACACACGAUGUGAGGGCCGAAGGGGCAAGACCGCGCAUGAUGCGACGGCGAAUCUCUCAGGCAAAAGGACAGGGCU
Molecule: non-coding RNA, 92 nt
Filed under: bovine gut metagenome
Description: Glycine riboswitch
Rfam family: Glycine riboswitch aptamer
About the family: This family represents the bacterial glycine riboswitch. Glycine riboswitches usually consist of two metabolite-binding aptamers domains with similar structures in tandem.
Source: RNAcentral